AACGAACGCUGGCGGCAUGCCUAACACAUGCAAGUCGAACGAGACCUUCGGGUCUAGUGGCGCACGGGUGCGUAACGCGUGGGAACCUGCCCUUAGGUUCGGAAUAACUCCCCGAAAGGGGUGCUAAUACCGGAUAAUGUCUUCGGACCAAAGAUUGAUCGCCUUUGGAUGGGCCGGCGUUGGAUUAGCUAGUUGGUAGGGUAAAAGCCUACCAAGGCGACGAUCCAUAGCUGGUCUGAGAGGAUGAUCAGCCACACUGGGACUGAGACACGGCCCAGACUCCUACGGGAGGCAGCAGUGGGGAAUAUUGGACAAUGGGCGAAAGCCUGAUCCAGCAAUGCCGCGUGAGUGAUGAAGGCCUUAGGGUUGUAAAGCUCUUUUACCCGGGAUGAUAAUGACAGUACCGGGAGAAUAAGCUCCGGCUAACUCCGUG
Molecule: ribosomal RNA, 433 nt
Filed under: uncultured bacterium
Lineage: Bacteria
Description: partial 16S ribosomal RNA
Rfam family: Bacterial small subunit ribosomal RNA
Source: RNAcentral